AUUGAACGCUGGCGGCAUGCCUUACACAUGCAAGUCGAACGGCAGCACGGGAGCUUGCUCCUGGUGGCGAGUGGCGAACGGGUGAGUAAUACAUCGGAACGUACCCUGAAGUGGGGGAUAACGUAGCGAAAGUUACGCUAAUACCGCAUAUUCUGUGAGCAGGAAAGAGGGGGAUCGCAAGACCUCUUGCUUUAGGAGCGGCCGAUGUCGGAUUAGCUAGUUGGUGAGGUAAAGGCUCACCAAGGCGACGAUCCGUAGCGGGUCUGAGAGGAUGAUCCGCCACACUGGGACUGAGACACGGCCCAGACUCCUACGGGAGGCAGCAGUGGGGAAUUUUUGGACAAUGGGCGCAAGCCUGAUCCAGCCAUGCCGCGUGAGUGAAGAA
This 385-nucleotide ribosomal RNA is filed under the name uncultured bacterium. RNAcentral's name for it is "bacterial SSU rRNA". It matches the Rfam family "Bacterial small subunit ribosomal RNA", at positions 30 to 412 of the family's 1533-position model. The record is from RNAcentral.